Long non-coding RNA from Lolium rigidum, 494 nucleotides. RefSeq lists it as uncharacterized. The record is from RefSeq and is a predicted model, not a curated record. Lineage: Eukaryota; Viridiplantae; Streptophyta; Magnoliopsida; Poales; Poaceae. The transcript has 2 exons.
UGCGUAUACCAAAAUCUUCUUGUGUGCUUUGUAUUCCCUUGAUUGAUUUAUUUGGUUGCGAUGCUUAUAUGUGUAUUGUUUGCUACAUCUCUAUAUCGGUAGAGCUACUUCCUUUGCAUUUUUAGCAUAUAUUAAUUGUUGUAUAUUGGUCAAGCAAGAUAAAAUAUGGGAUCAUAUAUCAACAAAUUGGUUGGUCAUAAUCAUGGAAAGUGUGGUGUAUCCAGCCUGAGACGGUCGAUACCUGAAAGGUGUGGGAUGGCAGGCCCGGAUGGGAAGGCCCACACAAGUAGGGGACUCGGCGACGUGAUUCUCAGAGAUCGAUACUAUCACGAGAUCAAUUUUAGGAUCAAGUGGCGACGGCUGAAAAUCCAUAUGACGGCAUAUAGCGUAGAAGUGGAGCGAGAUAUUAAUAAAAGAAAAUAUCACUAGUGUUGUAAUAAAUAAGUUGUACUUGUAAUAUUUGAUAAUGAAUAAAGUGGAGACCUUGCUUGGCA